GGGAAUGGGCCUACUGACAUACACAUGGAAACAGGAAGGAAUGGGCCUACUGACAUACACAUGGAAAUAGCGAAUGGGCCUACUGACAUACACGUAGAAAUAGUGGGGAGGCCCUACUGACAUGAACGUGGAAAUAUUGGGGUGGGCCUACUGACAUACACGUAGAAAUAGGGGGUGGGCCUACUGACAUACACAUGGAAAUAGGGAAUUGGCCUACUGACAUACACGUGGAAAUAGUGGGCGGCCCUACUGGUAUACAAGUAGAAAUAGUGGGUUGGGCCUACUGACAUACAUUGUACACGUGGAAAUAUGGGGUGGGCCUACUGACAUACACAUGGAAAUAGGGGGAUGGUGGUCAACACACUGAUAUACAUGACACGUGCAAAUAGAGGGUUGCGCCAACCUACUGACAUACACACGUGCAUUAUGGCGGUCAACACAGUAACACACGAAUUAAUCA
Haliotis rubra (blacklip abalone) is the source of this 460-nucleotide long non-coding RNA. RefSeq lists it as uncharacterized. The transcript has 3 exons. The record is from RefSeq and is a predicted model, not a curated record. Lineage: Eukaryota; Metazoa; Mollusca; Gastropoda; Lepetellida; Haliotidae.